GCCUCCCCUCACCUAGCCCCCUUCUGCGAGAUCCUGGAAACGAUCCUUCGAAAAGGAAUUAAACUGUUACGAUCCUCUGGUCUCAGUGCUGGGAAAUGAAGAUUUCAUGGUAUCCCUGGGACAUGGGGAUAAGCUCGUGAGGAUCUGGCAGUAAUGUUGGCUCUUGGUCCCCCCUCUUACAGAGCCGUUUCUCUCACUGAUGCUAGUGGUGUCAGAGAUGAAUUUCUCCCUGGAUCUGCAGAAUUCCAGUUUCUUGGAUGAAAGCUGGCUGCUGCCGGUAAGACUCCGCUUCUCUCUCUGAUGUGGGAUCCAAGAUUUUAUUCUUCCUCCUUCCAUCU
Molecule: long non-coding RNA, 338 nt
Filed under: Chelonoidis abingdonii (Abingdon island giant tortoise)
Lineage: Eukaryota; Metazoa; Chordata; Testudines; Testudinidae
Description: lncRNA (ENSCABG00000009636.1)
Source: RNAcentral